GAUGAACGCUGGCGGCGUGCUUAACACAUGCAAGUCGAACGGAAAGGCCCAAGCUUGCUUGGGUACUCGAGUGGCGAACGGGUGAGUAACACGUGGGUGAUCUGCCCUGCACUUCGGGAUAAGCCUGGGAAACUGGGUCUAAUACCGGAUAGGACCACAUUUUGGAUGGUGUGGUGGAAAGUUUUUCGGUGUGGGAUGAGCUCGCGGCCUAUCAGCUUGUUGGUGGGGUAAUGGCCUACCAAGGCGUCGACGGGUAGCCGGCCUGAGAGGGUGUACGGCCACAUUGGGACUGAGAUACGGCCCAGACUCCUACGGGAGGCAGCAGUGGGGAAUAUUGCACAAUGGGCGCAAGCCUGAUGCAGCGACGCCGCGUGGGGGAUGACGGCCUUCGGGUUGUAAACUCCUUUCGCUAGGGACGAAGCGUUAUGGGACGGUACCUGGAGAAGAAACACCGGCUAACUACGU
This 465-nucleotide ribosomal RNA is filed under the name uncultured bacterium. RNAcentral's name for it is "partial 16S ribosomal RNA". It matches the Rfam family "Bacterial small subunit ribosomal RNA", at positions 28 to 506 of the family's 1533-position model. The record is from RNAcentral.